Molecule: unclassified non-coding RNA, 743 nt
Filed under: Hevea brasiliensis (rubber tree)
Lineage: Eukaryota; Viridiplantae; Streptophyta; Magnoliopsida; Malpighiales; Euphorbiaceae
Source: RNAcentral
UACAGCAUUGAUGACCAAAAUUGAAACACAUACUGAGAAAUGUUGCUCGGCAACACUAGAAAGUACAAAAUGAUAUGCUUGUUUUGGGAUAAAAAAAAAAGAAGAAGAAUAUAAGGCAUUAACACAACAGUUAUUCAACCUCAAAAACAAAAGAAGGUUCGUUUCAUACAUAAUACAGACACCAGUGGCUAAAAUUACCCUAGAAUUUUCGGUUGUUAAAAGUUAAUCAUACAAGUUCCACCAUUGAAGAGAAUGAUAUAAUUUUUUUGAACAAAGUGAAAUUUGGGUGAUUUCACUAGAGUCAUAGCAUAUUCCACAUUUUUUUUUCCUUUCCUUCUUACUCUCUCGUUCCUGAGCAGCUUCCCCCCCUUCUUUCACUUUGCUUGAGUUCUCAAACAUUUAAAAUCUAUCCCCACAAAAUCUCAUCUUAACCUGAUUUCAAACGAAUUCAAAAUCUUCCCUCCUAAUCUAGUACAUCUGCCCCCCUAACCUAAUGUCUCUCAUCCUAACCCAUUAAAAUGAUUAGCAGGACAUCCCAAAGAAAAGAUGGCUAUCAUCUUAGAUUUGGCAAGUCUUGUAAAACCAUGCUCCAUUUGUCUGCUCAACCAUUUAUUCAUAAUUAAAAAAUUCCACCCAUUCAAUUUUUACAAAAUGGCCCUGCCUUCACAGCCUAAAAUAAUGCUUCAUCUCCAGUAGAAAUGUAAAGAAAAAAGAAGUGAAAAGGCAAAAAAGGUACACCUUAU